This 776-nucleotide ribosomal RNA is filed under the name uncultured Neocallimastigales. Its description in RNAcentral is "partial large subunit ribosomal RNA". It matches the Rfam family "Eukaryotic large subunit ribosomal RNA", at positions 22 to 645 of the family's 3401-position model. Lineage: Eukaryota; Fungi; Neocallimastigomycota; Neocallimastigomycetes; Neocallimastigales. The record is from RNAcentral.
UGUACACGCUGUGACUAGCAUAUCAAUAAGCGGAGGAAAAGAAACUAACAAGGAUUCCCCUAGUAACGGCGAGUGAAGCGGGAAGAGCUCAAAUUUGAAAUCUUAAAGGGUUUCCCUUUACGAAUUGUAGUUUAAAGAAGUGUUUUCUGUUGAGGUUUGGGUAAAAGUUCUUUGGAAUAGGACAUCAUAGAGGGUGAGAAUCCCGUAUUUGACCUUUACUUUCAACUUUGUGAUACACUUUCAAAGAGUCGGAUUGUUUGGGAAUGCAGUCCAAAAUGGGUGGUAAAUUUCAUCUAAAGCUAAAUAUUGGCGAGAGACCGAUAGCGAACAAGUACCGUGAGGGAAAGAUGAAAAGAACUUUGAAAAGAGAGUUAAACAGUACGUGAAAUUGUCAAAAGGGAAGCGUUUGACACCAGUGUUGUUUUUCUGAAAAUCAAUUAAAGAACUGUUUAUGCUAAGCUGUUUAGACUUUAUCAGCUAAUCUGUUUAGUUUUGAGCUUUUCUUUAAUGCACUUUUCAGUUAACAAGUCAACAUCAAUUUCUUUUGCUGUAAAAAAGCUUGAGGAAGGUGGCUUGAGAUUCGUCUUAAGUGUUUAUAGCCUCUUGCCUAUGCAGUCGGAGAGAUUGAGGUCUGCAGCGUAGAUCCUUCGGGGCUAAAUGCAUUUGUGCUAAGUUAUAGCAUUUUGUAGACAACUUGUUGACUAUGAUUUGUCUUGUAGCUUACUCGCUUAUGUUAUUUUACCUACGCUUAGGAUGUUGAAGUCAUCGUAUCGCGC